This is a transfer RNA of Acidothermus cellulolyticus 11B, 71 nucleotides long. It matches the Rfam family "tRNA". From Rfam's summary of the family: Transfer RNA (tRNA) molecules are approximately 80 nucleotides in length. The record is from Rfam. NCBI's taxonomy places the organism in Bacteria, Bacillati, Actinomycetota, Actinomycetes, Acidothermales, Acidothermaceae.
UCCCGGGUCGUCUAAGGGCAGGACAGUGGGUUUUGGUCCCAUUAAUGGGGGUUCGAAUCCUCCCCCGGGAG